UCCGGUUUGUCACCGGCAGUCUCCUUAGAGUUCCCGCCAUUACGCGCUGGCAACUAAGGACAAGGGUUGCGCUCGUUGCGGGACUUAACCCAACAUCUCACGACACGAGCUGACGACAGCCAUGCAGCACCUGUCUCACGGUUCCCGAAGGCACCCGCCCAUCUCUGGGCAGUUCCGUGGAUGUCAAGGCCAGGUAAGGUUCUGCGCGUUGCAUCGAAUUAAACCACAUACUCCACCGCUUGUGCGGGCCCCCGUCAAUUCCUUUGAGUUUCAGUCUUGCGACCGUACUCCCCAGGCGGCGAACUUAACGCGUUAGCUUCGACACUGAGAGCCUGAUUGCUCCCAACGUCCAGUUCGCAUCGUUUAGGGCGUGGACUAC
Molecule: unclassified non-coding RNA, 379 nt
Filed under: uncultured Lysobacteraceae bacterium
Lineage: Bacteria; Pseudomonadati; Pseudomonadota; Gammaproteobacteria; Lysobacterales; Lysobacteraceae
Description: uncultured Xanthomonadaceae bacterium contains 16S-23S intergenic spacer region
Source: RNAcentral